GGCUUAGAACAGACUGCAGCUAUUAGGCGUCAGUCGAUGGAAAUGGCAAGCCCCCGGUCAAUCGUGACACUGGGCUCGUUUCUUCUGAUAUUUUACUCCUUCAACCUACCAAAAGAAACGUCAGCUCAAGAGAGUUGCAGAGGAAGAUGUGGUAACAAGUACGAG
Callorhinchus milii (elephant shark) is the source of this 165-nucleotide long non-coding RNA. RefSeq lists it as uncharacterized. The record is from RefSeq and is a predicted model, not a curated record. Lineage: Eukaryota; Metazoa; Chordata; Chondrichthyes; Chimaeriformes; Callorhinchidae. The transcript has 3 exons.